RNA transcript from Lycium barbarum (goji berry), 2583 nucleotides. It is a transcript of the gene named phosphoglucomutase, chloroplastic, with no coding region annotated. NCBI's taxonomy places the organism in Eukaryota, Viridiplantae, Streptophyta, Magnoliopsida, Solanales, Solanaceae. The record is from RefSeq and is a predicted model, not a curated record. The transcript is spliced from 23 exons.
AAGUUAUUGUACCGAUAAGCAAUCUAGACAGCAUGUGGCAGAUAGGCAAUUCCUAUGAAUCUUUCUAGAUUUUCAAGAAUACUCCAAAGCAUAUCCCACAUUCUCCUAAUUUUGCUAGAAUAGUCCUGCCUCUUCUCUUUCCACUCACACUCUUUCUGCAAAAGAAAUAUGGGUAUGGAGGGUGCAUUUACAUUGACAAAACUUUCCACUCUGCCACCAUUGUUUUGUGCCAGUUCCUCCACUCAUUACCUUAGAUCCUUGUCAUUAUUACCUAAAUUGUCUUCCUUUAAAUACUCUUUUGGGACUAAAAUAUCAUCAUCUGCUCCUUUUAUUGUCACUGCCUCAUCAUCAUCAUCAUCAUCUCCUUCUACAACUGUUGGCCAAUCACAGGGUCUCAAGAUUAAUUCAAUUCCUACUAAGCCUAUUGAAGGUCAAAAGACCGGAACUAGUGGUCUACGCAAAAAGGUUAAAGUGUUUAUGCAGGAAAAUUACCUUGCCAAUUGGAUACAGGCAUUGUUUAAUUCAUUGCCAUUAGAGGAUUAUAAGAAUGGGCUGUUGGUCUUAGGAGGUGAUGGUCGAUAUUUCAAUCGAGAAGCUGCACAGAUAAUCAUUAAAAUUGCUGCGGGUAACGGUGUUGGUAAAAUAUUGGUUGGCAAGGAUGGUAUACUGUCCACGCCAGCUGUGUCUGCUGUGAUACGGAAGAGAGAGGCAAAUGGUGGCUUUAUAAUGAGUGCAAGCCAUAACCCUGGUGGUCCUGAGUAUGAUUGGGGUAUCAAGUUCAAUUAUAGCAGCGGCCAACCAGCACCUGAGUCUAUCACGGACAAGAUCUAUGGAAACACCCUUUCUAUUUCUGAAAUAAAAAUUGUCGACAUUCCUGAUGUUGAUCUUUCUCAACUUGGAGUUACAAACUAUGGAAAUUUUAGUGUGGAGGUGGUCGACCCUGUGGCUGAUUAUUUGGAGCUAAUGGAGAAUGUAUUUGAUUUUUCACUCAUUAGAAGUCUUGUUUCACGACCAGAUUUCAGGUUUGUAUUUGAUGCCAUGCAUGCAGUUACAGGGGCUUAUGCGAAGCCCAUUUUUGUUGAUAAACUAGGAGCUAGCCUGGAGUCUAUUGCAAAUGGAGUGCCACUGGAAGAUUUUGGGCAUGGUCAUCCAGACCCUAACCUUACGUAUGCCGAGGAUUUGGUGAAUAUCCUGUACGGACAGAAUGGACCUGACUUUGGUGCUGCAAGUGACGGAGAUGGUGAUCGAAACAUGAUUCUUGGAAGAAGCUUUUUUGUUACUCCAUCUGAUUCUGUUGCAAUUAUUGCUGCCAAUGCCCAAGAUGCUAUUCCAUAUUUCCAGUCCGGGCCUAAGGGUUUGGCUCGAUCAAUGCCCACUAGUGGUUCUCUAGAUCGCGUUGCCCAAAAGCUAAACCUCCCCUUUUUUGAGGUUCCAACUGGUUGGAAGUUCUUUGGUAAUCUAAUGGAUGCUGGAAAAUUGUCAAUCUGUGGGGAAGAAAGUUUUGGGACUGGUUCGGACCACAUCCGUGAAAAGGAUGGUAUAUGGGCUGUUUUAGCUUGGCUUUCAAUACUUGCAUAUCGGAACAAGGACAAAACAUCAGGGGAUAUAUUGGUUUCUGUUGCUGAUGUUGUGAAGGAGCACUGGGCCACUUAUGGAAGGAACUUCUUUUCGAGAUAUGACUAUGAGGAAUGUGAAUCAGAAGGAGCAAAUAACAUGAUCGAGUAUCUUCGGGAUUUGAUUUCUAAAAGCAAGGCUGGUGAUAAGUAUGGUUCUCCUGCAGGAAGUUAUAUCCUAGAUUUUGCUGAUGACUUCGCCUACACUGAUCCUGUCGAUGGAAGUGUCGCAUCCAAACAGGGGGUUCGCUUUGUUUUCAGUGACGGGUCCCGGAUCAUCUUUCGACUAUCGGGUACUGGGUCUGCUGGUGCAACAGUGAGAAUAUAUAUCGAACAGUUUGAGCUGGAUGCAUCCAAACACGACAUGGAUGCUCAAAUUGCUUUGAAACCAUUGAUAGAUCUCGCUCUUUCUGUAUCAAAGCUAAAGGACUUCACAGGAAGAGAGAAGCCCACUGUCAUCACAUAAGGUCAUAAAUAUCUGCAACUACAAUUGCUUAGGGGAAGCCUUCUUGUGACAGUUGUAGCAGUGAUUAUGAUGCAUGCUAUGAUCUUCUGUGGUAGCUUAGUCUAUCUUGGCCAAAAUAACAGGGUUGUCUUAGCUGAGAUACUUGUGAGAUACCUGCUCUUGACAUUUUAUUCCAGAAUAUAGGACCAUUCUCAUGCCUCGUACUGGCUGUUGGUGAUGGCGUCUUUGUGGGAUCACUCUAGUUCCUUCUAAAUUAAUUAGUCUAUUUCAGAUGUUUCCCGUGAGAUUUUUGGGCAUCUGUCUUUCUGAUCCUCAUCUUCAUAGUUUAUGUACUAGUAUCUGUUCCCUGGUGUUAUUGUGCAUUAUUGAAGACCAUGCUUUGAAAGGUUAAUCAUCCUAUAUCCUGGGAUAAGUACUUUCAAUAAGCAGUAGCUUCCUUUUUUCUUUAAGAAAACUAUACAGGAUUGAGGACUUAUUUAAUCAAGUUUUGCUAUUUGGUAGUUA